CCUACGGGAGGCAGCAGUCGAGAAUUUUUCUCAAUGGGCGCAAGCCUGAAGGAGCGACGCCGCGUGUGGGAUGAAGGGUUUCGAUCCGUAAACCACUGUCAUUUGUGAACAAUGCUCACCCGUGAACAACGGGUGAGUUGAUAGUAAUGAAAGAGGAAGGGACGGCUAACUCUGUGCCAGCAGCCGCGGUAAUACAGAGGUCCCGAGCGUUGUUCGGAUUCACUGGGCGUAAAGGGUGCGUAGGUGGCUUAGAAAGUCUGAUGUGAAAGCUCAGGGCUUAACCCUGAAAUGGCAUUGAAUACUGCUGAGCUGGAGGUUUGGAGGGGGGACUGGAAUUCUCGGUGUAGCAGUGAAAUGCGUAGAUAUCGAGAGGAACACCAGUGGCGAAGGCGAGUCCCUGGACAACACCUGACACUGAGGCACGAAAGCCGGGGGAGCAAACAGGAUUAGAUACCCUGGUAGUCCCGGCCCUAAACGGUGCGCAUUUGCUGUAGGAGGAAUCGACCCCUUCUGUGGCGAAGCUAACGCGAUAAAUGCGCCGCCUGGGGAGUACGGUCGCAAGAUUAAAACUCAAAGAAAUUGACGGGGGCCUGCACAAGCGGUGGAGUAUGUGGCUUAAUUCGAUGCAACGCGAAGAACCUUACCUGGCCUUGACAUGCACGUGGUAGGACCGUGAAAGCGGAACGACCCCGCAAGGGGAGCGUGCACAGGUGCUGCAUGGCUGUCGUCAGCUCGUGUCGUGAGAUGUUGGGUUAAGUCCCGCAACGAGCGCAACCCCUAUGUCCUGUUGCCACCCGAUCGAGAGAUUGGAGCACUCUGGACAGACUGCCUCGCUUAACGGGGAGGAGGUGGGGAUGACGUCAAGUCAGUAUGGCCCUUACGGCCAGGGCUGCACACGUACUACAUGCCCGGCACAAAGGGAGCAGACCGUCAGUGAGCAAAUCCCAGAAACGGCCCAGUUCAGAUGCGUCUGCACUCGACGGCAUGAGUGGAUCGCUAGUAUGGCGCAUCAGCUACGGCCGGUGAAUACGUUCCGGG
RNAcentral lists this ribosomal RNA (1038 nucleotides) under uncultured bacterium. Its description in RNAcentral is "bacterial SSU rRNA". It matches the Rfam family "Bacterial small subunit ribosomal RNA", at positions 338 to 1378 of the family's 1533-position model. The record is from RNAcentral.